AGCAGCCGCGGUAAUUCCAGCUCCAAUAGCGUAUAUUAAAGUUGUUGCAGUUAAAAAGCUCGUAGUUGAAUUUCGGGAUCAAUUUGCUGGUCGUGCCUCUGGUACGUACUGGUAUUAUUGGUUUCUCCCUUCUGACGAACCAUGAUGUCAUUAAUUUGAUGUCGUGGAGAAUCAGGACUGUUACUUUGAAAAAUUAGAGUGUUUAAAGCAGGCAUUAGCUUGAAUACAUUAGCAUGGAAUAAUGAAAUAGGACGUUUGAUCCUAUUUUGUUGGUUUCUAGGAUUGACGUAAUGAUUAAUAGGGAUAGUUGGGGGCAUUAGUAUUCAAUUGUCAGAGGUGAAAUUCUUGGAUUUAUUGAAGACUAACUACUGCGAAAGCAUUUGCCAAGGAUGUUUUCAUUAAUCAAGAACGAAAGUUAGGGGAUCGAAGACGAUCAGAUACCGUCGUAGUCUUAACCAUAAACUAUGCC
RNAcentral lists this ribosomal RNA (469 nucleotides) under uncultured Glomus. RNAcentral's name for it is "SSU rRNA". It matches the Rfam family "Eukaryotic small subunit ribosomal RNA", at positions 569 to 1043 of the family's 1831-position model. The record is from RNAcentral. Lineage: Eukaryota; Fungi; Glomeromycota; Glomeromycetes; Glomerales; Glomeraceae.